UUGCUACUUAAGUCUUAAUUUGUAUUUUGAUGUUGUUGCUACUGUUUUUGCAUUCAAUUUACAAUUAAAUCAUGUAAAAUUUUGGAUUUGCAUUCUGUUUGUUCGAGAUUUGCAUUAUAUUUGCUGAUUGCUUGCUAUAUCAUUUACAACUUCUAGAUUUUUGUGGAAAUUAUGUGUUUUAUGAAGAUUGGUACUAUUAUUAAGUUGGCUGAGCCUUCAAACGAGAAUCGUGAACGAGAGCUUCUUCAUCUUCUUCUAGCAUCAUAGCAAUGGAAAUCGGAAUUGAUUAUUUGAUAACGGUGAAACGGUUUGAAGAACGGUUAUGGAAAAUUGAACGGUAAUAGAGUAAUAGAGAGAACAUGGUUAUGCAGCACUCAAGUGAGGGGGUCUCAAAGUUACCCAUGGUUAUGGAGAAUUGUACGGAUCGAACUUUUCCAUUUUUUUCUUUUCUUUUUCUUUUUCAUUUAUUUAAUCACUAUGAUGUAUAUGUGGCUUUUUCAUGGGGGCCUCAAAGUUGCAUAAGGGAGUAAAGUUAGAGGGUUGGAAAGUGGGUUUUUUUAAUAGGGGAUCAAAAUCGCAAUUAUUGCAAGUUAUUUUAUUUUAGGAACAAAUAUUUGAAAGAUGGAGUCUUGGAGCAAAAAAAAAGGAGAAUUGGAGCUAAUUCGUGCCAAAAAUAUGAAGAUCUGAUACAAAAAUAUCUUGUGCAAAGAAUUUGAAGAUCUUGUGCAAAAAUAUAACAAGUGGCGCACCCCUUUUACCCUUUUGCUGCUUUUGUUUCUUCGACAAAGCUGCCUAUUUUAGUAUUUCAGACCUAGAGCCUAUGGUUUCUAGUGCAACACUUUAGUGAUUUAAUUCUUGGGGCUCAAGUCAAUGUUAGACUAUAAAUAGAUCAGUCAUCUAGUUUGUAAAACCAUCUUUUGUUCUUGAAAUAAUAAGUGAC
RNAcentral lists this long non-coding RNA (940 nucleotides) under Medicago truncatula (barrel medic). RNAcentral describes it as "long non-coding RNA (MTRU_LNC004382)". The record is from RNAcentral. Lineage: Eukaryota; Viridiplantae; Streptophyta; Magnoliopsida; Fabales; Fabaceae.